This 420-nucleotide ribosomal RNA is filed under the name bacterium. RNAcentral's name for it is "partial 16S ribosomal RNA". It matches the Rfam family "Bacterial small subunit ribosomal RNA", at positions 355 to 776 of the family's 1533-position model. The record is from RNAcentral.
UGGGGGAUAUUGCACAAUGGGCGAAAGCCUGAUGCAGCGACGCCGCGUGGGGGAUGAAGGCUUUCGGGUUGUAAACCUCUUUCGCUAUCGAACAAGGCCCGCUUAGGGUGGGUUGAGGGUAGGUGGAGAAGAAGCGCCGGCUAACUACGUGCCAGCAGCCGCGGUAAUACGUAGGGCGCGAGCGUUGUCCGGAAUUAUUGGGCGUAAAGGGCUUGUAGGCGGCUUGUUGCGCCUGCUGUGAAAACGCGGGGCUUAACUUCGCGCGUGCAGUGCAUACGGGCAGGCUUGAGUGUGGUAGGGGUGACUGGAAUUCCAGGUGUAGCGGUGGAAUGCGCAGAUAUCUGGAGGAACACCGAUGGCGAAGGCAGGUCACUGGGCCAUUACUGACGCUGAGGGGCGAAAGCAUGGGUAGCGAACAGG